This 436-nucleotide ribosomal RNA is filed under the name Dailognatha hellenica. Its description in RNAcentral is "partial 16S ribosomal RNA". Lineage: Eukaryota; Metazoa; Arthropoda; Insecta; Coleoptera; Tenebrionidae. The record is from RNAcentral.
GGCCUUUAGUAUAUGAUUUAAGGUCUGACCUGCCCAAUGAUUAUUUUGAAUGGCCGCAGUAUUUUGACUGUGCAAAGGUAGCAUAAUCAUUAGUUUUUUAAUUGAAAGCUGGAAUGAAUGGUUUGAUGAAAAAAUAACUGUCUCAAUAAAAUUUAUUUAGAAUUUUAAUUUUAAGUGAGAAAGCUUAAAUGUUUUAUGAAGACGAGAAGACCCUAUAGAGUUUAAUAAUAUCAUUAUUAUUUAUUUUAGGUUUUAUUUUUAUAAUAAUAUAAAUAUUAUUUUGUUGGGGUGACAGAAAAAUUUAAGUAACUUUUUAUGUUUUAUAACAUUAAUUUAUGAGUUUUUGAUCCUGAUUUUUUGGAUUAAAAGAUUAAAUUACCUUAGGGAUAACAGCGUAAUUUCUUUGAAGAGUUCUUAUCGAUAAAGAAGUUUGCGA